ACACUCCCAAGAGUGGACUCGAACUUGUCAGCAGUGUCGGCUAGAGUGUUUUUGUUCCUGCACUUGGGCUGUUCGGAGUUGUAGAGGCCAUGAGAAGGCAUAGCGUUAGGCCAUCCAGCCCUCAGAUUUUCUCCAGCUCCAUUCCGCCGCAUGAUGCCCUUUGAUCGUACCCUUUCCCGAAGUAAAAUAUCAAACGAAAGGAGUUCUGAAGCAUUUCAUCCAGAGAAUGAUAGGAGUCUGCGGAGCAUUGGGGAACAGGAGAACACCCGAGCUCAAGAAUCAGCCUCCGGGCUAAGAAACUAGUUCAGCAGGAAGGGUGCACCGUCAGGCCCUUAAGGAUCAUAUGCUCGAGACACGCAGGCCUUGAGCAUGCAGUGAUCCUGUGGCUUCCACCUCUCACGCGCUGGGAUUGCAGGCAUGCCCCGCCAUGGCCAGGGUUUGAGCUCAUUCUCUACCCCACCUCCAAGCUUUCCUGUGGAGUCUGGACUAGAAUUGAUAUCCAGCUGCCUGAGCUUCUCAAAUGCCAAGAUUAUAGGAAUUCUGGGACUGCAGAUUAAAGGUGUGCGCCACCA
This is a long non-coding RNA of Peromyscus eremicus (cactus mouse), 572 nucleotides long. RefSeq lists it as uncharacterized. The transcript has 3 exons. Lineage: Eukaryota; Metazoa; Chordata; Mammalia; Rodentia; Cricetidae. The record is from RefSeq and is a predicted model, not a curated record.